UCGCCAAAUAAUUUUGGGGAAUUUUCAAUC
This 30-nucleotide non-coding RNA is filed under the name Rattus norvegicus (Norway rat). The record is from RNAcentral. Lineage: Eukaryota; Metazoa; Chordata; Mammalia; Rodentia; Muridae.